AAACUGAUAACUGCGAUAUGACCGCUCUCCAUUUACUGAGCAGUUCCAAUCUUAGUCUUUUACUUGUUAAUAGACUACACAACUCCAUUAUUUGUCAGCUGAUACAGGCUAACAGAGACUAGCAAAGAAUUAUUUGAUAAGUAAAAAGAUAGCAUAUAAUUAGAUCCUGGGAAGAAAAAAUUUCCUUUUAACACUAUCAUUGUCAACUUUACAGAAUUUGGAUGACAUUGGUUUUCUGAGAGUGCUGGGAGCGUUAUCUAGGUAGGGCACCCUUGCUAACCAGCUACUACAGUAAGGCAAUACUCUAAGCAGUAUCUGUUUAAGCAAUAUUGAGGGCCAGGGAUGUCUCUAGAUAUUGUGAGGCCUUAGGUGAACCUCAAACAUGAGGCCCCCCACUAACACCCAUACUGGGGAAAUAACUGGGGUUGCAUUGUGCGUGUAUAAGGAGCUUUAGUUAUGUUGAAGGAUGAGCUUGCAGUGCUGGAUGCAAAAAGCUAGUCUCUGUAUUCAUCGUUCAGAGACUUGUAGUAUCGUAGCUCCCUUUGCCGCUAUGUGUAGUUAUGGCAUAAUUUGCAAAUGAAAUUAAUUAGCAAUAAACAAAUUGAAUUGCACUUAUGUUACUAGUGUAUACACCAUUGCGGGGUUUAGUUUCAUAGCCUGGCAGUCAUGUACACAUGGGUUUAAAUGUUUGUUUUAUGAAAAAAACAUCUAAAAAGUAAUUUACUGAAUAAUAAAGUUACAGAUAGGAAAACCGUGUCAAAGAAAUUUUCCCCACAUAUUCGCUAACACUUUCACGUAUAUUAUCCUAUAUGUUCUUUAUAUAUGUUUCCCCAUGUAUUGUAUAUAUCUGUUGCCACUUUACCAUUGCAUUGCCCAUACCACCCUCACAUUGCAGCCAUAGACUCUCUAAUACACAUUCUGAAAAACAUUGACAAGUACAGAAAUAUGGUGACCAUUUGUAUCUGGC
Pelobates cultripes (western spadefoot toad) is the source of this 967-nucleotide non-coding RNA. The record is from the annotation of a GenBank genome assembly. NCBI's taxonomy places the organism in Eukaryota, Metazoa, Chordata, Amphibia, Anura, Pelobatidae.